Molecule: ribosomal RNA, 468 nt
Filed under: uncultured bacterium
Lineage: Bacteria
Description: partial 16S ribosomal RNA
Rfam family: Bacterial small subunit ribosomal RNA
Source: RNAcentral
GACGAACGCUGGCGGCGUGCUUAACACAUGCAAGUCGAACGGAAAGGCCCGGCUUUUGUGGGGUGCUCGAUUGGCGAACGGGGGAGUAACACGUGAGUAACCUGCCCUUGACUUUGGGAUAACUUCAGGAAACUGGGGCUAAUACCGGAUAGGAGCUCCUGCUGCAUGGUGGGGGUUGGAAAGUUUCGGCGGUUGGGGAUGGACUCGCGGCUUAUCAGCUUGUUGGUGUGGUAGUGGCUUACCAAGGCUUUGACGGGUAGCCGGCAUGAGAGGGUGACCGGCCACAUUGGGCCUGAGAUACGGACCAGAAUCCUACGGGAGGCAGCAGUGGGGAAUAUUGCACAAUGAGGGGAAGCCUGAUGCAGAAACGCCCCGUGCGGGAUGACGGCCUUCGGGUUGUAAACCGCUUUCGCCUGUGACGAAGCGUGAGUGACGGUAAUGGGUAAAGAAGCACCGGCUAACUACGUG